Molecule: long non-coding RNA, 645 nt
Filed under: Cricetulus griseus (Chinese hamster)
Lineage: Eukaryota; Metazoa; Chordata; Mammalia; Rodentia; Cricetidae
Description: lncRNA (ENSCGRG00015034156.1)
Source: RNAcentral
CUGUUAUGGUUGCCAAAAGGGAAGCUGGUUCCUUCACCAUGAUGGAGUGACCCUCUAAAACUACACCUGGCAUCUGGCUGCGACAUCCUGUGGUAGGCUGUCCUGUCGAGGUGUAGCACACCUUUGUCUGAGCCACUGAAGAGUUUUGUGGACCCCAGAGGAGUAGCUUGGAGAAGGUUUCGCUAUGUGGCCCUGGCUGUCCUGAAAGUCUAUCUGAAAGACCAGCCUAAUCUUGAACUCAGAGAUCUACCAAGAUCUACCAGCCUUUGCCUCCCAAAGGCCGGGAUUAAAGUCAUGAGCCACCAUGCCUGGAUGAAACCGGAUUUUCCAAAGCAAAGAUACAGCAUCUCCAACAAGUAAUACAUAUUUAUCGUGAGGUAGAUGCUGUGGCUUCAAUGGCCUCAGACGAAACAUGGUGCAUUUUAGUCCCUCCUGUAACUGGUAGAAGCAAGAACAGAGGAGGCUGAUGGGAGGAGGAGAUAAUAGUCAAAGAAGCAGACAGAUCACCCAGGGGCUAAUGAAGUCAUGGGCUGAUGGGUAAUCCCCACCUGGGAGACUGCGAGGACUCAAAAGGUAAAAGGGCUUACCACCAAGCCUGACAACGUGAGUUCAAUCCCUGGGUCCCACGUGGUGGAAGCAGAGAAC